GUAAAAUCUGGGCAAGGUGGACUGUGUCAACCAGUGGAUUCUGGAGAGGUUUUAUUGUGGUUGGAGUGGUGAGACUUGCAGUAAUUCAGAACUGAUGAACUAUCAAAAACCACUUGAGCAGCACCCUCAGAGCAUG
Molecule: long non-coding RNA, 136 nt
Organism: Ochotona curzoniae (black-lipped pika)
Lineage: Eukaryota; Metazoa; Chordata; Mammalia; Lagomorpha; Ochotonidae
Exons: 3
Source: RefSeq, a predicted model, not a curated record